AUACGGAGGAUGCGAGCGUUAUCCGGAUUUAUUGGGUUUAAAGGGAGCGUAGGUGGGAUAUUAAGUCAGCUGUGAAAGUUUGGGGCUCAACCUUAAAAUUGCAGUUGAUACUGGUUUCCUUGAGUACGGUACAGGUGGGCGGAAUUCGUGGUGUAGCGGUGAAAUGCUUAGAUAUCACGAAGAACUCCGAUCGCGAAGGCAGCUCACCGGGCCGGAACUGACGCUGAAGCUCGAAGGUGCGGGUAUCGAACAGGAUUAGAUACCCUGGUAGUCCGCACAGUAAACGAUGGAUACUCGCUGUCGGCGAUAUACGGUCGGUGGCCAAGCGAAAGCGUUAAGUAUCCCACCUGGGGAGUACGCCGGCAACGGUGAAACUCAAAUGAAUUGACGGGG
RNAcentral lists this ribosomal RNA (393 nucleotides) under uncultured bacterium. RNAcentral's name for it is "partial 16S ribosomal RNA". It matches the Rfam family "Bacterial small subunit ribosomal RNA", at positions 523 to 918 of the family's 1533-position model. The record is from RNAcentral.